Long non-coding RNA from Argentina anserina (silverweed cinquefoil), 552 nucleotides. RefSeq lists it as uncharacterized. The transcript has 3 exons. The record is from RefSeq and is a predicted model, not a curated record. Lineage: Eukaryota; Viridiplantae; Streptophyta; Magnoliopsida; Rosales; Rosaceae.
CCCUCAUUGGCAGCCAAGGAGAAUGAGGCUUUGUUAAGGGAACUUGUACAGAUGUGGUCAAAUUACAAGAUAAUGGCGAGGUGGCUAUGUAGAUUCUUUGAAUACCUUGACCGCUAUUACAUCCGCCGUCAUUCUCUUGUUUCACUUACUGACGCCUUUGUUGAUUGCUUUUGUAAUCUGGUCUUCAACUUGUUGGCUGACAAUUCAAGCAGCUGCAAUAUCUCUGAUUAAUCAAGAGUGUUAUGGCCAGCUGAUUGAUGAAAAGCUGCUCCAAAAUGUUACGAGUAUCUUUAUGGAAAUUGGUCAAAAUAUGUCGCUAGCACACUAUGAAAUCAUUGAGCAGGCUAUUCUCAGAGAAACCGCCACUGUCUAUUCCCAAUUAUCUUCUGAGUGGCUUUUAUGUGAUUCGUUUACCAAUUAUAUUUAGAAGGUUUUUCUUCUAUACAAGCUUCUGAGGUUGAUACUAACUAUGAUACAUAUGUAUGUGAUUCCCUGUAUUCUACAGGUGAACUGGUGCACCUUGCAGGAGAAAGAAAGAGCUGGCCACUAUCU